This 387-nucleotide ribosomal RNA is filed under the name uncultured bacterium. Its description in RNAcentral is "bacterial SSU rRNA". It matches the Rfam family "Bacterial small subunit ribosomal RNA", at positions 29 to 416 of the family's 1533-position model. The record is from RNAcentral.
AUUGAACGCUGGCGGCAUGCCUUACACGUGCAAGUCGAACGGCAGCGCGGGGGCAACCCUGGCGGCGAGUGGCGAACGGGUGAGUAAUGCAUCGGAACGUGCCCAGUCGUGGGGGAUAACGCAGCGAAAGCUGCGCUAAUACCGCAUACGAUCUAUGGGUGAAAGCGGGGGACCGUAAGGCCUCGCGCGAUUGGAGCGGCCGAUGUCAGAUUAGGUAGUUGGUGGGGGUAAAGGCUCACCAAGCCAACGAUCUGUAGCUGGUCUGAGAGGACGACCAGCCACACUGGGACUGAGACACGGCCCAGACUCCUACGGGAGGCAGCAGUGGGGAAUUUUGGACAAUGGGCGCAAGCCUGAUCCAGCAAUGCCGCGUGCAGGAAGAAGGCC